RNAcentral lists this transfer RNA (72 nucleotides) under Paramuricea clavata. It matches the Rfam family "tRNA". From Rfam's summary of the family: Transfer RNA (tRNA) molecules are approximately 80 nucleotides in length. Their secondary structure includes four short double-helical elements and three loops (D, anti-codon, and T loops). The record is from Rfam by way of RNAcentral. Lineage: Eukaryota; Metazoa; Cnidaria; Anthozoa; Malacalcyonacea; Plexauridae.
GAUCGCGUAGCUCAGUUGGCAGAGCAUUGGGCUAGUAUUCCAAAGGUCGUGGUUCGAUUCCCACCGUGGCCA